Molecule: long non-coding RNA, 1728 nt
Organism: Dermacentor albipictus
Lineage: Eukaryota; Metazoa; Arthropoda; Arachnida; Ixodida; Ixodidae
Source: RefSeq, a predicted model, not a curated record
CACCGCCACCCCCCGAAGAACAACCCCCUGAAGAAGGAGCCGAAUGGGCUCCGAAACGUCGGGCUAAUAAAAUUCAGUUAUUUGGUUGGAGUCAGUCUCAAGUUCUAAUCAAUUUCCCAACCAGACAGGCAAUUCUGUCGAAAUGUUUAGCUUCACUAAGCAGCUGGGACACAUUUUUUGUUGACCAUACUAGCUCGCAGGUAAAAUAAGUACAUCAUGUGGACAGCUCCAGCUUAUUUUCCUUAAAUCAGUGUGUACAAGGGGCAUGCAAAAAUAAUUUUUUUCUCGCGCACCGAUUAUUUUGCUGUUUAAGCAAGAGAACCCACCACGUUAGUGUAAGGUAUCUUGUAGUACAUCACACUAAUAGGUGCUUUAAUUUACCAAGUGAGAUGAGUUACUCUUAUGGCUCAUUCAGUCAUAUCACACUGCAAGCUGCAUUCAUCAAUCUUCACUUGGAUUUUGCAAAUGUUUAAUGAAACAUGUUUCCCUUUUAUGCAGAUAUGCAAUGGCAAGCCCUUCCGUGUGUUCCAAAGGUAAAAUUUAAGCUCUAAAUUAAACAAGACAUUUCUAGUCAGAAACAAGCAAAAAUGGUGAAUGCAGAGUAUCAGAAGCCCAAGGUACAGAAAUUAUGAGAAUUGUGUCGAAUGAUCUUAAGGAAAGAGUCGUAUUUGAAAAUGCAAGACUCUUUAGUGGAGGUCAAGCAAGUCAAUAUAGGUAGAAUACUCUGCAAAAUUAUGCGAGUGAGGGGAUGUCAAACAAUGGGUCAGGAAAUGCGUUGUUUUUUCUGCAAAACAAAAGCUGAUUUCCAUUACAUAAGUCACUUUAGCAUCAUGAGACUGCUGCUUGAUAAAUUCAGAAAUAAACCAAAAAACAAGACACGCAAAAAUAAAAAAACAAUUUAAUCAUGCUCUCUCCACACUGGGAUAAAUAAAAACAAACACAUCACAUCUACUGUGGACAUAUCAGACGCCUUGUGAAACACUAAAGGAAAAAUUCAGUUUCGAGCUAUGGCACUUGUCGCAUAGAUGUGGGGGGCCUUGCACUAAUAGUGAUAGUUACCACUGCAUUUGGAAAUUGAAAGCAUUCGUGCAGACAAGGAUGAUUCUUUAUAUUUUUGACUACCACUUCAAAUGCCUCCACCAAGUGUUACAACGCUGCACGCAGCCAUACUAAGGAUCUCGCAGCAACACCUCCAGGUAAAAAGCAGAAGCAGUCAAAGUGCUGGUGUGUACUGGACACUAUGUUUGAAAACUUUUAGGCAAGAAGAGUGCAAGAAGCAGGUAUAACUGAAUUUAUUUCCAUAAUUACCCAUUUGAAUGGCCUUUCCUUUUGUUUAGACAAUGCCUACGCCUAGCCACAGCAGCUCCCUCAUACAGACUCCGCAAGCCAAGAGGCCGUGGACGCAAAUGCAGGCCGCCAGCACACCCCGAACAGCCACCUUGACUGCAGGUGUCACCCUAGUCGCCAAGGAAACAUUUGAGGAAAAGCGACAGGCAAUGUGAGGAGCCACUUCUCCAUGUAAACGAUACUCUUUCUCUCGGAUGACUCCUACGCCUCGCCACGCCAGCACACUUGUGCACAAAGAUGCCGCGGAGGCACGUGCAGGUCAGAGGCAAGAAGCAGUGACACUGGUGUCGACAUUCACACCUCGAACAGCCACCUUGACUGCGGGUGUGUCAGUAGAUUCCUGUUGUACAUAUGCUCAUAAUAAACUUCAGUAAACUUGAA